UGCUGCAUUCAAAAGUGACUGCGGGCUGCCCGGGCCGUCACUCAUGCUGCAGGGAGAGGACGCCAAAAGCCUUUCCCCAGGUUUGGAAGGUCCAGCCUGCACUGGCCAGCUCCUGGUGCUUUAGUCUA
RNAcentral lists this small nucleolar RNA (128 nucleotides) under Peromyscus maniculatus bairdii (prairie deer mouse). RNAcentral describes it as "Small nucleolar RNA SNORA71 (ENSPEMG00000003882.2)". Lineage: Eukaryota; Metazoa; Chordata; Mammalia; Rodentia; Cricetidae. The record is from RNAcentral.